UUCUCCCUCCCUCUCUCUCUAUUUCCCCCUCUCUCAGGAAACAGGAGACUGGUUGCCCACUGAAGCUAAUUAGGGUUGAGCCUCGUCAGUACCUGUAUGGGAGACCUCCUGGGAAAACUAGGUUGCUGCUGGAA
Molecule: ribosomal RNA, 134 nt
Organism: Sinocyclocheilus anshuiensis
Lineage: Eukaryota; Metazoa; Chordata; Actinopteri; Cypriniformes; Cyprinidae
Source: Ensembl